AAAUAAGAAACAAAUUAUUGUAUUUAGUUUCGACCUAAAAUUCUGGUGACCCACACCCUUAUUUA
This 65-nucleotide transfer RNA is filed under the name Ontholestes orientalis. Its description in RNAcentral is "tRNA-Arg". The record is from RNAcentral. Lineage: Eukaryota; Metazoa; Arthropoda; Insecta; Coleoptera; Staphylinidae.